Molecule: ribosomal RNA, 2924 nt
Filed under: Paenibacillus nuruki
Lineage: Bacteria; Bacillati; Bacillota; Bacilli; Caryophanales; Paenibacillaceae
Description: 23S ribosomal RNA
Rfam family: Bacterial large subunit ribosomal RNA
Source: RNAcentral
GGUUAAGCUACUAAGAGCACACGGUGGAUGCCUAGGCGCUAGGAGCCGAUGAAGGACGUGGCGAACAACGAUAAAGCCUCGGGGAGCUGUAAGCAAGCUGUGAUCCGGGGAUGUCCGAAUGGGGAAACCUAACUGGAUUCAUCUCCAGUUACUCACACCUGAAUACAUAGGGUGUGCAGAGGCAGACGAGGGGAACUGAAACAUCUAAGUACCCUCAGGAAAAGAAAACAAGAGUGAUUCCGUCAGUAGCGGCGAGCGAACGCGGAACAGCCCAAACCAAGAAGCUUGCUUCUUGGGGUUGUGGGACGUCUCUUUGGAGUUACAAAGGAAUGAGGUAGGCGAAGAGGUCUGGAAAGGCCCGCAAGACAAGGUGAAAGCCCUGUAGCUUAAAUCUCAUUCUCUCCGAGACGGAUCCCGAGUAGUGCGGGGCACGUGAAACCCCGUAUGAAUCUGCCAGGACCAUCUGGUAAGGCUAAAUACUCCCUAGCGACCGAUAGUGAAGCAGUACCGUGAGGGAAAGGUGAAAAGGACCCCGGAAGGGGAGUGAAAUAGAACCUGAAACCGUGUGCUUACAAAAAGUCAGAGCCCUAUUAAUGGGUGAUGGCGUGCCUUUUGUAGAAUGAACCGGCGAGUUACGUUCCCGUGCAAGGUUAAGGUGAAAAGCCGGAGCCGCAGCGAAAGCGAGUCUGAAUAGGGCGACUAAGUACGUGGACGUAGACCCGAAACCAGGUGAUCUACCCCUGUCCAGGGUGAAGGUACGGUAACACGUACUGGAGGCCCGAACCCACGCACGUUGAAAAGUGCGGGGAUGAGGUGGGGGUAGCGGAGAAAUUCCAAUCGAACCUGGAGAUAGCUGGUUCUCCCCGAAAUAGCUUUAGGGCUAGCCUCGGAAGUUGAGUCGUGGAGGUAGAGCACUGAUUGGAUGCGGGGCCCGCAAGGGUUACCAAGUUCAGUCAAACUCCGAAUGCCACAGACUUUAUUCCGGGAGUCAGACAGUGAGUGCUAAGAUCCAUUGUCGAAAGGGAAACAGCCCAGACCAUCAGCUAAGGUCCCCAAGUGUGUGUUAAGUGGGAAAGGAUGUGAAGUUGCACAGACAACCAGGAUGUUGGCUUAGAAGCAGCCACCAUUGAAAGAGUGCGUAAUAGCUCACUGGUCGAGUGACUUUGCGCCGAAAAUGUAACGGGGCUAAACACACCACCGAAGCUAUGGCUUGAUACAUUAGUAUCAGGGGUAGGGGAGCGUUGAAUGAAGAUUGAAGGUGUACCGCAAGGAGCGCUGGACCUCAUUCAAGUGAGAAUGCCGGUAUGAGUAACGAAAAGAUCAGUGAGAAUCUGAUCCGCCGAAAACCCAAGGAUUCCUGAGGAAGGCUCGUCCUCUCAGGGUAAGUCGGGACCUAAGGCGAGGCCGAAAGGCGUAGUCGACGGACAACAGGUUGAAAUUCCUGUACCACCGAAAGCCGUUAUGAGCAAUGGGAUGACGCAGGAGGAUAGUGACGCGGACUGAUGGAUGUCCGUUCAAGCAGUGAGGCUGGUAUGUAGGCAAAUCCGCAUACCGCAAGGCCAGGCUGUGAUGAGGAGCGAAAAUUGUAGUAGCGAAGGUCAUGAUUUCACACUGCCAAGAAAAGUCUCUAGCCAGGAAGCAGGUGCCCGUACCGUAAACCGACACAGGUGGGUGAGAAGAGAAUUCUAAGGCGCGCGGAAGAACUCUCGUUAAGGAACUCGGCAAAAUGACCCCGUAACUUCGGGAGAAGGGGUGCCCCGGUAGUGUGAAUAGCACGAGGGGGCCGCAGUGAAAAGGCCCAAGCGACUGUUUAGCAAAAACACAGGUCUGUGCGAAGCCGCAAGGCGAAGUAUACGGGCUGACGCCUGCCCGGUGCUGGAAGGUUAAGGGGAGUGGUUAGCGCAAGCGAAGCUAUGAACCGAAGCCCCAGUAAACGGCGGCCGUAACUAUAACGGUCCUAAGGUAGCGAAAUUCCUUGUCAGGUAAAUUCUGACCCGCACGAAUGGCGUAACGAUUUGGGCGCUGUCUCAACGAGAGAUCCGGUGAAAUUUUAAUACCUGUGAAGAUGCAGGUUACCCGCGACAAGACGGAAAGACCCCAUGGAGCUUUACUGCAACUUGAUAUUGAACUGGGGUGCGAUUUGUACAGGAUAGGUGGGAGCCGUAGAAACCGGAGCGCAAGCUUCGGUCGAGGCGCCGUUGGGAUACCACCCUGAUCGCAUUUGAGUUCUAACCUCGUACCGUGAUCCGGUACAGGGACCGUGUCAGGUGGGCAGUUUGACUGGGGCGGUCGCCUCCUAAAGUGUAACGGAGGCGCCCUAAGGUUCCCUCAGAAUGGUUGGAAAUCAUUCGAAGAGUGUAAAGGCAUAAGGGAGCUUGACUGCGAGACAGACACGUCGAGCAGGGACGAAAGUCGGGCUUAGUGAUCCGGUGGUACCGCAUGGAAGGGCCAUCGCUCAACGGAUAAAAGCUACCCUGGGGAUAACAGGCUUAUCUCCCCCAAGAGUCCACAUCGACGGGGAGGUUUGGCACCUCGAUGUCGGCUCAUCGCAUCCUGGGGCUGAAGUAGGUCCCAAGGGUUGGGCUGUUCGCCCAUUAAAGCGGUACGCGAGCUGGGUUCAGAACGUCGUGAGACAGUUCGGUCCCUAUCUGUCGUGGGCGUAGGAAAUUUGAGAGGAGCUGUCCUUAGUACGAGAGGACCGGGAUGGACGCACCGCUGGUGUACCAGUUGUUCCGCCAGGAGCAUCGCUGGGUAGCUACGUGCGGAAGGGAUAAGCGCUGAAAGCAUCUAAGCGUGAAGCCCCCCUCAAGAUGAGAUUUCCCAGUAUGUAAGACCCCUUGUAGACGACGAGGUUGAUAGGUUGGGGGUGGAAGUGCCGUAAGGCAUGGAGCUGACCAAUACUAAUCGGUCGAGGGCUUAUCCAA